Molecule: non-coding RNA, 456 nt
Organism: Terrapene triunguis (Three-toed box turtle)
Lineage: Eukaryota; Metazoa; Chordata; Testudines; Emydidae
Source: the annotation of a RefSeq genome assembly
AUGAAGCUUUGGUUGUACCUCGUUCUCAUUGCAGCAUCUCUGGAAGGUGCCCGGUCCCCAAUCCAGCUGGUGGAGUCCGGAGGGGACGUGAAAAAGCCCGGAGAGCCUCUCCGCCUCUCCUGCAAAGCCUCCGGGUUCACCUUCCGCAGAUAUGGGAUGAACUGGGUCCGCCAGGCUCCUGGGAAGGGACUGGAGUGGGUCACCUACAUUUACAGCACCAGCAUAUACUACAGUGACUCCGUAAAAGGGAGAUUCACCAUCUCCAGAGAUGACCCCAACAGCCUGUUGUACCUGCAAAUGACCGGCCUGAAACCCGAGGACACCGCCCGGUAUUACUGUGCGAGAGACACACUCAGGGGAAUCCCGAGAGGGUUCAUACAAAAACCUGAGCUGCAGAACCGCGCUUCUCCCGUGUGCCGCGUGGGGGCAGCACUUUCACAAACAAUCCAGCCCUGA